This is a non-coding RNA of Callorhinus ursinus (northern fur seal), 1314 nucleotides long. The record is from RefSeq and is a predicted model, not a curated record. Lineage: Eukaryota; Metazoa; Chordata; Mammalia; Carnivora; Otariidae.
GGCGGUCGUCGGACCUCGGGACUCGGGGGCUGGCGGCGGCUUCUCCUGCGGCGGGGCCUCCGGUGGCCCCGGGGCGCGAGCUCAGGUACUGUUCAAGGGAAUAUUAGAACAGCAUGAUUUUGACAACGUUGUAGAGGAAUCUUUUCGUUUAUCUGGUCCUGCCAUAUGCCCACCUCUGGCUGUUCUGAAAAAAAUCAACCUACGAAUCGUGUUCGCAGAAAACAGCUCUUCCCGUGGUUCUUUGCUCUACACCCAACAUCUUUCAGGCUCAAAUUUUUCAUACCUGCUGUUAAAAGUUCUAGGGCAGAAAAUGGAAUUGAGCUCAUCUAGGUGGUGUGCUACUGUUUUUGCAAGUACGCCACUGGGAUAGUGAACCAGAGAAUGAACACGUAGAGGAAUAGAUGUUUUACUUAAAAAAAAUCAUUUCAUCAGAGGAACUGCCUGAUAUUCUGCAGCGGAAGUUUUGCUAUAAAUUUUGAAAAGGGAAGAAAAAGGCAUUCUAGAGAAUAACAUCUUUAGUGUUUAUAAUCUCAUUUUGAAUCCUAAAAACUUGAAUACUGGUGUGGUGACCGCUUUGUAAGCCCUGACUGUGUUCUCGUGGAUCCCUAAAGUGACUUGUCAGUAAGCCUGAUGGCAGAAUGCCGAAAUUGGCUUAAAAGAAUUCAUGGAGAAAGUCCCGCUAGUGCAGCACUGGGAAUGCAAAGUGAAAAAUGGGAAGACUUUAUCACCAGUGGUAUUGUCUCAUUUAAUAGACUUUUCUGGGCUGAAAAAGUGGGGAUAUACAGUGAACUUUUUAAAAUAAGAUGAGCAACAUCUCUCAGUUGAUGGUUUCUAACCUGAGGCCGACAUUUAAUAAGCCAAAGUGCAAUGUACUGGUGCUUCUUGAUCAGACACGACCUCUGAUAAACGUGUUAACGGUGCUAUAAAACACAUCCCUUUAUUUUUUCUAAUGAAGAGCAAGGUAAAGCUUCAGAGAUAUUCACAAUCAUCAUUUUCUUAAGUCUUAGAGUAGCAUGUUGCUGUACUUUGUGUACAUCGGUAGAAAACGGAUUCCCUCAAAGCCCAUUUUGGAUACAAUAGCAAAAAGUUGUUUCUCCUACUUGUCAAACAGAAACUUUCACCCAGCCAGGUUUCUGAGUGAAUCAGUACAAUUAGAAAAACUUACUUGCUACUUGCUACCAAGACCCAUACUUUGUUUAGAAAACUAGAAAAUAUGCCAUUCCCUCAUUUUGAUUGUUUUCUGCCCUGAAUACUGUUGAAAUUCCUGAAUUCAUAUUUGCUGAUUAAAUGUCAUCUAUUUGACUUUAUGGUAAA